GGGUUACGUCAUGUCCCUGUUGUAAGGCAGGGUUACGUCAUGUCCCUGCUCUAAGGCAGGGUUACGUCAUGUCCCUGUUCUAAGGCAGGGUUACGUCAUGUCCUUGUUCUAAGGCAGGGUUACGUCAUGUCCCUUUUGUAAGGCAGGGUUAUGUCAUGUCCCUGUUGUAAGGCAGGGUUACGUCAUGUCCCUGUUGUAAGGCAGGGUUACAUCAUGUCCCUGUUGUAAGGCAGGGUUACGUCAUGUCCCUGUUGUAAGGCAGGGUUACAUCAUGUCCCUGUUGUAAGGCAGGGUUACGUCAUGUCCCUGUUGUAAGGCAGUGUUACGUCAUGUCCCUGUUGUAAGACAGGGUUACGUCAUGUCCCUGUUCUAAGGCAGGGUUACGUCAUGUCCUUGUUGUAAGGCAGGGUUACGUCAUGUCCCUGUUGUAAGGCAGGGUUACGUCAUGUCCCUGUUGUAAGGCAGGGUUACGUCAUGUACCUGCUCUAAGGCAGGGCUACGUCAUGUCCCUGUUGUAAAGCAGGGUUACGUCAUGUCCCUGUUGUAAGGCAGGGUUACGUCAUGUCCCUGUUCUAAGGCAGGGUUACGUCAUGUCCUUGUUCUAAGGCAGGGUUACGUCAUGUCCCUUUUGUAAGGCAGGGUUACGUCAUGUCCCUGUUGUAAGGCAGGGUUACGUCAUGUCCCUGUUGUAAGGCAGGGUUACGUCAUGUCCCUGUUGUAAGGCAGGGUUACGUCAUGUCCCUGUUGUAAGGCAGGGUUACGUCAUGUCCCUGCUGUAAGGCAGGGUUACGUCACGUCCAUGUUCUAAGGCAGGGUUACGUCAUGUCCCUGCUGUAAGGCAGGGUUACGUCAUGUCCCUGUUGUAAGGCAGGGUUACGUCAUGUCCCUGUUGUAAGGCAGGAUUACGUCAUGUCCCUGUUGUAAGGCAGGGUUAUGUCAUGUCCAUGUUGUAAGGCAGGGUUACGUCAUUUCCCUGUUCUAAGGCAGGGUUACGUCAUGUCCCUGUUGUAAGGCAGGGUUACGUCAUUUCCCUGUUCUAAGGCAGGGUUACGUCAUGUCCCUGUUGUAAGGCAGGGUUACGUCAUGUCCCUGUUGUAAGGCAGGGUUACGUCAUGUCCCUGUUGUAAGGCAGGGUUACGUCAUGUCCCUGUUGUAAGGCAGGGUUACGUCAUGUCCCUGUUGUAAGGCAGGGUUAUGUCAUGUCCCUGUUGUAAGGCAGGGUUACGUCAUGUCCCUGUUGUAAGGCAGGGUUACUUCAUGUCCCUGCUCUAAGGCAGGGUUACGUCAUGUCCCUGUUGUAAGGCAGGGUUACGUCAUGUCCCUGUUCUAAGGCAGGGUUACGUCAUGUCCUUGUUCUAAGGCAGGGGUACGUCAUGUCCCUUUUUUAAGGCAGGGUUAUGUCAUGUCCCUGUUGUAAGGCAGGGUUACGUCAUGUCCCUGUUGUAAGGCAGAGUUACAUCAUGUCCCUGUUGUAAGGCAGGGUUACGUCAUGUCCCUGUUGUAAGGCAGGGUUACAUCAUGUCCCUGUUGUAAGGCAGGGUUACGUCAUGUCCCUGUUCUAAGGCAGGGUUACGUCAUGUCCUUGUUGUAAGGCAGGGUUACGUCAUGUCCCUGUUGUAAGGCAGGGUUACGUCAUGUCCCUGUUGUAAGGCAGGGUUACGUCAUGUCCCUGCUCUAAGGCAGGGUUACGUCAUGUCCCUGUUGUAAGGCAGGGUUACGUCAUGUCCCUUUUGUAAGGCAGGGUUACGUCAUGU
Molecule: long non-coding RNA, 1754 nt
Filed under: Salmo salar (Atlantic salmon)
Lineage: Eukaryota; Metazoa; Chordata; Actinopteri; Salmoniformes; Salmonidae
Description: lncRNA (ENSSSAG00000119189.1)
Source: RNAcentral